CCAACCACCUGAUCCACCAGUCACCUGAUCCACCAACCACCUGAUCCACCAGUCACCUGAUCCACCAACCAUCUGAUCCACCAACCACCUGAUCCACCAACCACCGGAUCCACCAGUCACCUGAUCCACUCCACUUCUUGGGAACCAGUCCAGAUCUUUCUGAAUAGAUCUGUAUGUCUGCGUUUUUGUUUGUUUUGAUUUGAUUUUAACGUGAAUCCAAUUUUAUUGUUUAUUUUGGCAGGUUUGUUUUAUGUUCUGGAUAUGCAGAGGCCUUAGUCUUUACACUCUAAACCUUUAUAUUAAAAUGCAAGAUGUGAAAUGUGGACUGUUUUGUUUGUUGGUUCUGACUUCAUGAAACGGUAGCCUAUCUCCGAAAGCACUACUUUUGACCAGGACCCAACAUAACGGAUAUAAAUUCCUCUUAACUUCUGGACAAAUUAUCCCCCUGUAGGACCUGGUCAAAGGUAGUGAACUCUGGAGGAGAUAUGAUACCAUUUGGGGUCGCAGCCUAUUGAAAUGGUACUGUUUGUUUGCUUGCUGUGGUAGACUGAAUGACUUAUCCCAUGCCAAACUACUUGGAAGGAGGUUGUUGGUUCUAAAAAAAGACAGACAGAAAGAAUGUUUAUCAUGUUGUCGAAAAGAAGCCUCUAGAAUGUCUUCUAGAAUGUUUUUUGUCACUUUGAGCAAAAAAAAUAAUGUUUUUGGAGUACUUGAAUGAAGACAGACAGAACAUACAUAUUAUUCUAUUCAGAGAUGGCAAAACAGAGCAGAAAUCCCCUCACGGCGUCUAAUUAUCAAAGCACAGACAGACUAAAUGUGACCCAGCGGGGCUGAGUUAGAUAAUGUUAACACUUAGCUGGCCGUGUCACACGAAAGUCACAAUGUUCCAUGCAGAAUUGGCCCCUAGACCUGGGUUCAAACAACAUUUAAAAUAAUUUCAAAUACUUUAUCUGGGCUUGAUUGAGCUUGCCUGGCAUAAUGGAAUAAAUAGAGGAGCUGCGAGUUUAAACCCCGCCCAUCUAUGCAGACUAAAGCAAUCACUAAAAGUAUUUGAAAGAUUUCCAAUAGUCUUUGAACCCAGGUCUGCACCCCACCACCGUGCUAUCAGCCACUGGUGUUGCCACGGGAACCUGCAACUGACUACAAGUCAGUAUUUUGUCUGAUUAUUGGAACCCAGAGCCAUGGGCAAUCAGUCUUUAGGUUCUAGAACACAGAACCAUGGGCAAUCAGUCUUUAGGUUCUAGAACACAGAACCAUGGGCAAUCAGUCUUUAGGUUCUAGAACACAGAACCAUGGGCAAUCAGUCUGUUUUUAGGCUUUCCUUGUAGCCUGGUCCCAGAUCUGUUUGCACUAUCUUACCAACUAGAACAGCUCCUGAGUCAAGAGGUCUUAACACACAGGAGGAGCAGAACAGACACAUUGAUACAAUAUUUAUAAAAAAUCUAUAGAUAUCCAUUGAUAGCCAGAACAUUGUCAAGAUGGCCGACAUAAGGAGUGCGAUCUUUCUUUUCAUUGCUUUUCACAUACAAGUAUCAUUUAUAAUUUGAAAACAAAUAUUUUGUGAAAAAUAGUAUAUACCUCAAUAACCUGAGAUCAACAGUAAUGUUCUUUGUUAUUUCCCUGACUAUUUACUGUUGUAUUCAUAAAGCCGUUGAGAUACAUUAAAUUAAUAUGAUUUAAUAUGAUUUAAUAUUUAAUAUGAUUUACC
Molecule: long non-coding RNA, 1708 nt
Organism: Oncorhynchus tshawytscha (Chinook salmon)
Lineage: Eukaryota; Metazoa; Chordata; Actinopteri; Salmoniformes; Salmonidae
Source: Ensembl